RNAcentral lists this long non-coding RNA (640 nucleotides) under Homo sapiens (human). RNAcentral's name for it is "HSALNT0073194". Lineage: Eukaryota; Metazoa; Chordata; Mammalia; Primates; Hominidae. The record is from RNAcentral.
CUUGCACACCUUUGGAAUUUAUGCAUCCCAUUUUGGAGACCACUAUACAACAUUCUUCCUUAGGAGUAUGAGCAUUACUGGACAGAGUUGAGAGGAACUACUCUUUUCUUUUAUACCGACAAAAAGAGUAUAAUAUAUGUUGACAAAUUAGACAUAGUAGACCUCACAUGCCUUACUGAGCAGAAUUCAACUGAAAAGAACUGUGCGAAAUUCACCCUUGUUUUGCCGAAAGAGGAAGUACAACUGAAGGUGAGCGAGGAGAAACAGUAGUCUGUAAAGGGUUGUGGUUAUAAAUAACAUUCUUCACAUCCAGUGGCUGAAGUAAAGAGAAAUUGUAAGACAGGCUAAGUCUUACACUUUGUUAAUAUUUUUGCUUGCGUCUGGCCAAGACCUAGUUUUCUGAAUUGGAAUUUAAAAAGACGUGUUCACUUGUUUAGCAUACAAGCGCCACGAAACCAGAUACUCCUGCCCUCUGACAAAGUCAAGGAUCCCACCUGGUGUUUGCUAAGGUUGUUCUUGAAUCAGCAUUCAAAAUGAGCCAAUAAAAGUCACCCAGUAACCACGGUAAUAACAUAAAGAGAACAACUUGUAUUAAAUAAGAUAUACUCGGAGACUUUUCCUGGGAGAUUACUGAUUGACC